RNAcentral lists this small nuclear RNA (194 nucleotides) under Colletotrichum graminicola M1.001. Its description in RNAcentral is "U2 spliceosomal RNA". It matches the Rfam family "U2 spliceosomal RNA". From Rfam's summary of the family: U2 is a small nuclear RNA (snRNA) component of the spliceosome (involved in pre-mRNA splicing). Complementary binding between U2 snRNA (in an area lying towards the 5' end but 3' to hairpin I) and the branchpoint sequence (BPS) of the intron results the bulging out of an unpaired adenosine, on the BPS, which initiates a nucleophilic attack at the intronic 5' splice site, thus starting the first of two transesterification reactions that mediate splicing. Lineage: Eukaryota; Fungi; Ascomycota; Sordariomycetes; Glomerellales; Glomerellaceae. The record is from Rfam by way of RNAcentral.
AGCUCUUCUUUGCCUUUGGCUUAGAUCAAGUGUAGUAUCUGUUCUUUUCAGUUUAAUCUCUGAAGAAGAUACCUAAUGGUAUCAAUCUGGAUUAUUCCUAUUUUUGAUCGCCGAGGUCGUGCCUCUGCGGCUUGCCGCAUGCCGACUUCAUCGUGUCCCUGGUAUUUCACUGCCUCCAGGUGACGCAAACCGUG